AUGCACGCUGGCGGCGUGCCUCAUCCCUGCAAGUCGAGCGCACAGACGAGGAGCUUGCUCCUCUGACGUUAGCGGCGGACGGGUGAGUAACACGUGGAUAACCUACCUAUAAGACUGGGAUAACUUCGGGAAACCGGAGCUAAUACCGGAUAAUAUAUUGAACCGCAUGGUUCAAUAGUGAAAGACGGUUUUGCUGUCACUUAUAGAUGGAUCCGCGCCGCAUUAGCUAGUUGGUAAGGUAACGGCUUACCAAGGCGACGAUGCGUAGCCGACCUGAGAGGGUGAUCGCCCACACUGGAACUGAGACACGGUCCAGACUCCUACGGGAGGCAGCAGUAGGGAAUCUUCCGCAAUGGGCGAAAGCCUGACGGAGCAACGCCGCGUGAGUGAUGAAGGUCUUCGGAUCGUAAAACUCUGUUAUUAGGGAAGAACAAAUGUGUAAGUAACUAUGCACGUCUUGACGGUACCUAAUCAGAAAGCCACGGCUAACUACGUG
This 496-nucleotide ribosomal RNA is filed under the name uncultured bacterium. RNAcentral describes it as "partial 16S ribosomal RNA". It matches the Rfam family "Bacterial small subunit ribosomal RNA", at positions 29 to 507 of the family's 1533-position model. The record is from RNAcentral.